GGGUUCAUAGUUCAGUGGGAGAACACUUGCUUGACGUGCAAGGGGUCGGCGGUUCGAGUCCGUCUGGACCCA
Molecule: transfer RNA, 72 nt
Filed under: Anaerobium acetethylicum
Lineage: Bacteria; Bacillati; Bacillota; Clostridia; Lachnospirales; Lachnospiraceae
Rfam family: tRNA
About the family: Transfer RNA (tRNA) molecules are approximately 80 nucleotides in length. Their secondary structure includes four short double-helical elements and three loops (D, anti-codon, and T loops).
Source: Rfam by way of RNAcentral